UCCAGUUUAUCACCGGCAGUCUCCCUAGAGUGCCCAGCUUUACCUGAUGGCAACUAAGGACAAAGGUUGCGCUCGUUGCGGGACUUAACCCAACACUUCACAGCACGAGCUGACGACAGCCAUGCAGCACCUGUGUAAUUGUCUCUUGCGAGAAGACCCACUUUCAUGGGCUGUCAACUACAUGUCAAACCUGGGUAAGGUUCUUCGCGUAGCCUCGAAUUAAACCACAUGCUCCACCGCUUGUGCGGGUCCCCGUCAAUUUCUUUGAGUUUCAGUCUUGCGACCGUACUCCCCAGGUGGUGGAUUUAAUGAGUUAUCGUCGGCGCUGAGAGGAUCAACACUCCCAACACCUAAUCCACAUCGUUUACGGCAAGGACUAC
Molecule: unclassified non-coding RNA, 380 nt
Filed under: uncultured bacterium
Lineage: Bacteria
Description: contains 16S-23S intergenic spacer region
Source: RNAcentral